This 54-nucleotide transfer RNA is filed under the name Bos taurus (domestic cattle). It matches the Rfam family "tRNA", at positions 10 to 63 of the family's 71-position model. From Rfam's summary of the family: Transfer RNA (tRNA) molecules are approximately 80 nucleotides in length. Their secondary structure includes four short double-helical elements and three loops (D, anti-codon, and T loops). RNAcentral also lists the same sequence under 2 other names. Lineage: Eukaryota; Metazoa; Chordata; Mammalia; Artiodactyla; Bovidae. The record is from Rfam by way of RNAcentral.
UCUCAGUGGUAAAGAAUCUGCUUGCAAUGCAGGAGACCCGGGUUCAAUCCCUGG